CAGCAGCCGCGGUAAUACGAAGGGUGCAAGCGUUACUCGGAAUUACUGGGCGUAAAGCGUGCGUAGGUGGUCGUUUAAGUCCGUUGUGAAAGCCCUGGGCUCAACCUGGGAACUGCAGUGGACACUGGGCGACUAGAGUGUGGUAGAGGGUAGCGGAAUUCCUGGUGUAGCAGUGAAAUGCGUAGAGAUCAGGAGGAACAUCCAUGGCGAAGGCAGCUACCUGGACCAACACUGACACUGAGGCACGAAAGCGUGGGGAGCAGACAGGAUUAGAUACCCUGGAAGUCCACGCCCUAAACGAUGCGAACUGGAUGUUGGGUGCAAUUUGGCACGCAGUAUCGAAGCUAACGCGUUAAGUUCGCCGCCUGGGGAGUACGGUCGCAAGACUGAAACUCAAAGGAAUUGACGGGGGCCCGCACAAGCGGUGGAGUAUGUGGUUUAAUUCGAUGCAACGCGAAGAACCUUACCUGGCCUUGACAUGUCGAGAACUUUCCAGAGAUGGAUUGGUGCCUUCGGGAACUCGAACACAGGUGCUGCAUGGCUGUCGUCAGCUCGUGUCGUGAGAUGUUGGGGUUAAAGUCCCCGCCAACGAAGCGCCACCUCUU
Molecule: ribosomal RNA, 605 nt
Filed under: uncultured Gammaproteobacteria bacterium
Lineage: Bacteria; Pseudomonadati; Pseudomonadota; Gammaproteobacteria
Description: bacterial SSU rRNA
Rfam family: Bacterial small subunit ribosomal RNA
Source: RNAcentral